Long non-coding RNA from Cryptomeria japonica (Japanese cedar), 1221 nucleotides. RefSeq lists it as uncharacterized. The record is from RefSeq and is a predicted model, not a curated record. NCBI's taxonomy places the organism in Eukaryota, Viridiplantae, Streptophyta, Pinopsida, Cupressales, Cupressaceae. The transcript is spliced from 3 exons.
AACACAAUGAUUAGAAUUGAGAGCGGAGCGUUGGAGCCUAAUGCCAGCCCAGAUGCUUUCUUCAGGGAGAGCUCGAUUUUUGUUUACGCAACACACAGCUUUAAUAAAUUUUGUUUAGAAUCGGCUUGAACGUCGGAAGAGCUUGCCGUUGGAACACUGGAGCCUAGCCGUUGGGAGAUUGAUGCUUGAACGUUGGAGCCUAAGGCCAGCUGGACUAGCCAUUGGAGAUUCAUGCAUUUGAAGUCAUGGUCUAUAAAAUCAGGGCAAGAGAGGGUAAGAGGAUUUGUGGUAGGGACUGGUAGUGGGACUGAGAUUCAUACAUUCGAAGCCAUGGCCUAUAAAAUCAGGGCAAGAGAGAUAGAGAUUCAUACAUUUGAAGCCAUGCUCUGUAAAAUCAGGGUAAGAGAGGGAGAGAGGAUUUGUGGCAGUGGGACUGAGCUUUGCAUUUACAUUGGAGUGUUGGGUUAUUGGACAUAUGGUGCUUACGGAAUUAUUUCUCUCUUUGAAAGAUUUAGAAACUGAGUCCCAACGUGCGAUGAAACUCUCGGUUCAUGGCUAAAAGGGCUUGAUAGUGAGCUGGUUGUGAUCGAUCAGGGUUGAAUAAAGGUUGUCUUUCUCAAGGUUGCAUGGCAUACAUGUAUGGUGUUGCAUCAAAUGUGAAUUAGUGUUGGUAGUACAUAUGUAAGUUAGACAUAUGCAUGUAAUUGAUUAAUAUAAAAUGCAAAAUGGUCUAGUACAUAUUACAUGGUUAAAUGUUAUGUCAUGUAAAUAGGGUUGUUAUUCAUUAAAGUUGUAUGGUGCGCUUAUGUGAAUUAAACUUUGACAUUUAUGCAAUUGAUGUCUAUAGUAUACAUUUGUGAAUUAAAUUUGUAUGAUGCAUAUUGUGUGCUCAUGUGCAUUAGGAUUGAAUGGUAUUUAUAUCAUUGAGUUAUAGUAUACAUUGUGUGCUCAUGUGUAUUAAUAUAAAAUGUAAAAUGGUGUGCUUAUGUGAAUUGAACUUUGACAUUUAUGUAAUUGAAGUCUAUAGUAUACAUUUGCGAAUUAAAUUUGUAUGAUGCAUAUUGUGUGCUCAUGUCAUUGAGUUAUAUGUGAUUGAUUUGUAUGUCAUGUAUAGUACAUGAAGAUGAUUCAUGUUAUUGUUGUGUUAUGUGUCCAAUGUGUAUUCUCUCCAUGUUGUGCCCAUAAACUUACUUUUUAUUAAAGUUGUAUGGUGAUCUAAUG